RNAcentral lists this ribosomal RNA (502 nucleotides) under uncultured bacterium. RNAcentral describes it as "bacterial SSU rRNA". It matches the Rfam family "Bacterial small subunit ribosomal RNA", at positions 36 to 518 of the family's 1533-position model. The record is from RNAcentral.
CUGGCGGCGUGCCUAACACAUGCAAGUCGAACGAAUCAUCUUUGUAGCAAUAUAGAAGAUGGUGAGUGGCGCACGGGUGAGUAAUACAUAGAUGAUCUGCCUUUCAGACUGGGACAACUCAGGGAAACUUGAGCUAAUACCAGAUAAGACCACAUGAAGGGAUUCACGUGACCAAAGGGUGAGCAAUCUCCUGCUGGAAGAUGAGUCUAUGUCCUAUCAGUUAGUUGGUGGGGUAAAGGCCUACCAAGACGAAGACGGGUAGCCGGCCUGAGAGGGUGAACGGCCACACUGGAACUGAGACACGGUCCAGACUCCUACGGGAGGCAGCAGUGAGGAAUUUUCCGCAAUGGGCGAAAGCCUGACGGAGCGACGCCCGCGUGAGGGAUGAAGGUUUUCGGAUCGUAAACCUCUUUUAUCAAGGAAAAAGGCUUUAAUGCGAAUAACAUUAAAGUUUGAUUGUACUUAAUGAAUAAGCCCCGGCUAACUACGUGCCAGCCGCCGC